RNAcentral lists this ribosomal RNA (524 nucleotides) under uncultured bacterium. RNAcentral describes it as "partial 16S ribosomal RNA". It matches the Rfam family "Bacterial small subunit ribosomal RNA", at positions 28 to 523 of the family's 1533-position model. The record is from RNAcentral.
GACGAACGCUGGCGGCGUGCUUAACACAUGCAAGUCGAACGAGACGAUUGAAAGCCUGCUUUUGAAAGUCGAGUGGCAAACGGGUGAGUAACGCGUAGACAACCUGCCUUUGAGAUGGGGACAACAGUUCGAAAGGACUGCUAAUACCGAAUGUUGUAUAUUUUCCACAUGGAAGAUAUAUUAAAGAUGGCCUCUAUUUAUAAGCUAUCGCUCAAAGAUGGGUCUGCGUCUGAUUAGCUGGUUGGUGGGGUAACGGCCUACCAAGGCGACGACCAGUAGCCGGUCUGAGAGGAUGAACGGCCACAUUGGGACUGAGACACGGCCCAGACUCCUACGGGAGGCAGCAGUGGGAAAUCUUCCACAAUGGACGAAAGUCUGAUGGAGCAACGCCGCGUGAGUGAAGAAGGGUUUCGGCUCGUAAAGCUCUGUUGUCGGGGACGAAUGUGCAGUAUUUGAAUAAAGUACUGUAAUGACGGUACCUGACGAGGAAGCCACGGCUAACUACGUGCCAGCCGCCGCCGUAA